GAUUAAUUGGGAUGAUUCCCGGCGUUGUUGCAGCUAAUGCCGUCAUUAGCAAAUUGUGCGGUGGAUGGUUCAGCUUGCAGUCAGUUUUUGCACACCGGCCAUUAAGAUAAUCUCGACAAACUUCCCCAAGAGAUGCUCCAAUUCCAGGCAAAAUUGCACCACCAGAAGCACCAGGAACAACGCCGGGAAUCAUCCCAAUUAAUCCAGGGAAUGCCCCAGAAACAGAUCCUGAAUAAUUUGGCAUGUUGGGCAUGGUCUGGUUAACUAAGUUUGGAAAAGUUGAAGCAGGAGCCACACCCAGAAGUCCUCCAGUUGAAGUACCAGCACUGAAGAAAACGGGGAAUGGACUACCCAUGAUGGGUUUGCCAUUACAGUCAAUAUUCACCAUAUAAUUCCCCCUUUUGGGCACCACAUAAGUUACGGUGUAAGUCCCAUCCCCCAUAUCCUUCAC
Molecule: unclassified non-coding RNA, 451 nt
Filed under: Hevea brasiliensis (rubber tree)
Lineage: Eukaryota; Viridiplantae; Streptophyta; Magnoliopsida; Malpighiales; Euphorbiaceae
Source: RNAcentral